GCCUCCGUAGCUUAGUGGUAGAGUGAUCGGCUGUUAACCGAUUGGUCGUCGGUUCAAUCCCGACCGGGGGCG
Molecule: transfer RNA, 72 nt
Filed under: Candidatus Woesearchaeota archaeon
Lineage: Archaea; Nanobdellati; Candidatus Woesearchaeota
Description: tRNA-Asn
Rfam family: tRNA
About the family: Transfer RNA (tRNA) molecules are approximately 80 nucleotides in length. Their secondary structure includes four short double-helical elements and three loops (D, anti-codon, and T loops).
Source: RNAcentral